AGGACGAACGCUGGCGGAGUGCUUAACACAUGCAAGUCGAGCGGAAAGGCCCUUCGGGGUACUCGAGCGGCGAACGGGUGAGUAACACGUGAGUAACCUGCCCCUAGCUCUGGGAUAGCUCCGGGAAACCGGGAUUAAUACCAGAUACGACCACUUUAGACAUCUGUCGUGGUGGAAAGGAUUCCGGCUAGGGAUGGGCUCGCGGCCUAUCAGCUUGUUGGUGGGGUAACGGCCUACCAAGGCGACGACGGGUA
RNAcentral lists this ribosomal RNA (254 nucleotides) under uncultured bacterium. Its description in RNAcentral is "partial small subunit ribosomal RNA". It matches the Rfam family "Bacterial small subunit ribosomal RNA", at positions 26 to 285 of the family's 1533-position model. The record is from RNAcentral.